Molecule: ribosomal RNA, 413 nt
Filed under: uncultured Rhizophagus
Lineage: Eukaryota; Fungi; Glomeromycota; Glomeromycetes; Glomerales; Glomeraceae
Description: partial 28S ribosomal RNA
Source: RNAcentral
GAGAGUUAAACAGUACGUGAAAUUGUUGAAAGGGAAACGAUUGAAGCCAGUCGUACCUUCGGGUAAUCAGCCUUUCGGGUGCGAUUCUGUGGAGUUUGAGGAGCUUAACACCUUCAUGCUUUUGCAUAUUCGUGCUCUUGGGUGUACUUGCCCGUGUGGUUGGUUAACAUCAAUUUCGGGCACCAUAAAAUGGCUGGAGGAAUGUAGCUUCGAUCUUGUAUUGAAGUGUUAUAGCCUUCGGUAGAUGUGGUGAUCGAGAUUGAGGAUUGCAACGGAUACCUUUCGGGGCUACCUGUCUGAUCUCUGAUCGUUGCUUUGUUGCUGAAAGCGUGCUUAUAGUUAUCAAAGUCGAUGGUCAAUAGGUUAGAAUGGGUUAAAUUCGUUAAGGAUGUUGACGUAAUGGCUUUAAACGA